Molecule: ribosomal RNA, 480 nt
Filed under: uncultured Cytophagales bacterium
Lineage: Bacteria; Pseudomonadati; Bacteroidota; Sphingobacteriia; Sphingobacteriales
Description: bacterial SSU rRNA
Rfam family: Bacterial small subunit ribosomal RNA
Source: RNAcentral
GAUGAACGCUAGCGGCAGGCCUAAUACAUGCAAGUCGAGGGGCAGCAAGACACUUCGGUGUUGUUGGCGACCGGCGCACGGGUGCGUAACACGUAUGCAAUCUACCUUAUACUGGGGAAUAGCUCCAAGAAAUUGGAAUUAAUACCCCAUAAUAUCUUUUUUUCGCAUGAAGAGAAGAUUAAAGCUUUGGCGGUAUAAGAUGAGCAUGCGGCUUAUUAGCUUGUUGGUGAGGUAACGGCUCACCAAGGCAAUGAUAAGUAGGGGUUCUGAGAGGAAGGUCCCCCACACUGGCACUGAGACACGGGCCAGACUCCUACGGGAGGCAGCAGUAGGGAAUAUUGGUCAAUGGGCGCAAGCCUGAACCAGCCAUGCCGCGUGCAGGAUGAAGGUCAUUUGAUUGUAAACUGCUUUUAUACAGGAGUAAAAGAUCUCUGCGGAGAUCCUUGAUAGUACUGUAAGAAUAAGCACCGGCUAACUCCG